CCCCUCACUGUCACUCGGUCUGUUCUGGUCCUGCUCUGCUCUGCUCCUUUUGACCCAUUUUCGUGCCCAUAUGCGAGAAAUGGAGUCCCAAAACCCACCUUCAAAGAUUGCACGUCUUGCAUAUUCUGGUAUUGGACAGACAGGUUGUUUGAACAUGGAGAGACAUGGAUCCAGCGGGGGUUCCUCAGGUUCACCUCCAAUAGGGUUAGGACUUGCGCUUGGAAGUGGUGGGUCGACUGAUCACAGCCCGAUACCAAUCCCCGACUGCACAAAAUCUUACGGCUUCACCAUUCUUCAACUGCAAGAGCUAGAACUCCAGUCUAUUAUCUACAAGUACAUAGAAUCUGGAUUCCCAGUCCCCUACCAUCUUGUUCUUCCUAUAUGGAAGAGUGUUUCUAGCUAUCUCAGCGGUCUCAACUCAAGCUUAUAUCAACUCUACCCUUCCUUCAUGGGAGGUAACAUCCCAUUGCAUAUGGACUACAGAAAUGUGAUGGACCCGGAGCCAGGGAGAUGUAGAAGAACAGAUGGGAAGAAAUGGAGGUGCAGCAAAGAGGCUCUCCCAGAUCAGAAGUACUGUGAGAGGCACAUGCAUAGAGGGCGUCAGCGUUCAAGAAAGCUUGUGGAACCUACUUCUUCUCAAGCCAUUAGUGCGACCACCAACCUCUCCAUUUCACUUCCAUUCUCAAAUGAUCCAUCAAAUGGAGAAGUUGGAUUGAGGCCGUAG
RNAcentral lists this unclassified non-coding RNA (724 nucleotides) under Hevea brasiliensis (rubber tree). Lineage: Eukaryota; Viridiplantae; Streptophyta; Magnoliopsida; Malpighiales; Euphorbiaceae. The record is from RNAcentral.